AACGAACGCUGGCGGCAGGCCUAACACAUGCAAGUCGAGCGCCCGCAAGGGAGGCGGCGGACGGGUGAGUAACACGUGGGAAUUUCCUCAAGCUACGGAACAACUCAGGGAAACUUGGGCUAAUACCGUAUGAUGCAGAGAUGCCAAAGAUUUAUCGCCUUGGGAUAAGCCCGCGUCAGAUUAGGUAGUUGGUGGGGUAAUGGCCUACCAAGCCUGUGAUCUGUAGCUGGUCUGAGAGGACGAUCAGCCACAUUGGGACUGAGACACGGCCCAAACUCCUACGGGAGGCAGCAGUGGGGAAUCUUGCGCAAUGGACGAAAGUCUGACGCAGCCAUGCCGCGUGAAUGAUGAAGGUCUUAGGAUUGUAAAGUUCUUUAGCCUGUGACGAUGAUGACGGUAACAGGAGAAUAAGCCCCGGCUAACUUCGUG
RNAcentral lists this ribosomal RNA (429 nucleotides) under uncultured bacterium. RNAcentral describes it as "bacterial SSU rRNA". It matches the Rfam family "Bacterial small subunit ribosomal RNA", at positions 29 to 507 of the family's 1533-position model. The record is from RNAcentral.